CAGAAUCAAAGGGAAAAGGAAGGCCUUACCUGGCGAUGGCGAUGGCGAAGGCGAAGGCGGAGACGAAGAUGAAAGUGGAGGUCUUGUCCGGAGAAUGUUCUUCUUUCCCCUGCUCUUGCGUUUUCUUUUUGUUAUGGGUUCUCUUUUUCUUUAGGUUUUUUUGUUCCCCUGUUUUCUGCUCUCCUUUUCUCCGUCCCCGUUCUUGCGAUCCCCUGCCUUUUAUAGGCUGUCAUGCUGCUUAUCUUCCCAGGAUCAUGAUAAGGUAUGGGGACAUUGUGUUUCAGUCGGAUUGAGGCACCGACAGUCCCGCCCCUGUUGGACUCUUUUCUAUAAGCAUGAGGGCGUGAAAAAUUUAUCCUUAUCUCCCCGGAGUUGUCAUCUUCACAAAGAUAAGCUUUGCAAAUUGAGUUCUGGUUGGACUGGGAUGCCGGUGUUUCACCAUUUCCGUUCCUUCUGUGCAGGUGAGCUUUCAGCGUCCAAGGAAGAGGAAGAGAAAUAGCACAUGCUUGAAACGGUGCGUUUCGGACUGGAAAUGACCAUUUCUCAAUUUGGUCCUCCAAGUUUCAACACUUUAAUCGGGCCCCUAGACAGAAUUUCGGUGCCUUUUACAAAAUGGUCCCUAGACCUUAAUCACUUGUAAUUUUGUCCUUAAUCAACUCAGAAAUUUAAUAUUGAUUCGAUUAUGCCCCUAAUUUCAUUAAUUAAACUAAUUCUAAGCUUAAUUAAAUCCUCAAACUUAUCCAUUCUUCAAUCAAACUCCC
Molecule: long non-coding RNA, 761 nt
Filed under: Populus trichocarpa (black cottonwood)
Lineage: Eukaryota; Viridiplantae; Streptophyta; Magnoliopsida; Malpighiales; Salicaceae
Description: long non-coding RNA (PTRI_LNC003058)
Source: RNAcentral